Non-coding RNA from Pelobates cultripes (western spadefoot toad), 348 nucleotides. Lineage: Eukaryota; Metazoa; Chordata; Amphibia; Anura; Pelobatidae. The record is from the annotation of a GenBank genome assembly.
UGCUUUUAAAUGCAAGCUAUUGUGACACCAGAUAUGAGUGGUGGCACUGACUGGGCAAAUGGGCACAGUAUCCACUGUGAGCCUGACACACCCGCUUUAAGGACACUGACUGCUAUUCAAUCUAUAACAGUGAAAAAAGUUUUUUGUUUUUAAAUGCAAGCUAUUGUGACACCAGAUAUGAGUGAGUGGUGGCACUGGGCACCGUAUCCACUGUGUGCUUAACACACCCGCUUUAAGGACACUGACUGCUAUUCAAUCUAUAACAGUGAAAAAAGUUUUUUGUUUUUAAAUGCAAGCUAUUGUGACACCAGAUAUGAGUGAGUGGUGGCACUGACUGGGCAAAUGGGC